Molecule: ribosomal RNA, 497 nt
Filed under: uncultured bacterium
Lineage: Bacteria
Description: partial 16S ribosomal RNA
Rfam family: Bacterial small subunit ribosomal RNA
Source: RNAcentral
GAUGAACGCUGGCGGCGUGCCUAAUACAUGCAAGUCGAGCGAACAGACGAGGAGCUUGCUCUUCUGACGUUAGCGGCGGACGGGUGAGUAACACGUGGAUAACCUACCUAUAAGACUGGGAUAACUUCGGGAAACCGGAGCUAAUACCGGAUAAUAUAUUGAACCGCAUGGUUCAAUAGUGAAAGACGGUUUUGCUGUCACUUAUAGAUGGAUCCGCGCCGCAUUAGCUAGUUGGUAAGGUAACGGCUUACCAAGGCAACGAUGCGUAGCCGACCUGAGAGGGUGAUCGGCCACACUGGAACUGAGACACGGUCCAGACUCCUACGGGAGGCAGCAGUAGGGAAUCUUCCGCAAUGGGCGAAAGCCUGACGGAGCAACGCCGCGUGAGUGAUGAAGGUCUUCGGAUCGUAAAACUCUGUUAUUAGGGAAGAACAAAUGUGUAAGUAACUAUGCACGUCUUGACGGUACCUAAUCAGAAAGCCACGGCUAACUACGUG